GAAGUGUUUUGCAACUUGGAGGGAAAUUUGCUGCUGCUGAAUGGAGUUCUUUGCCAUCUACUUGACAUUCUCUUUCCAGCUCCCCCGCAAAAGGGAGAUGGGGAACAAAGGGGGCUUCUCUCUCCCUCUGGUUAAGGAACCGAAGUGCAACAACUGCUGAAGUUCCACCUACAAACCCAAAGAACCUGCCCUUGGACACCAGUGUAAUGUUCAGCAAAACCCUUCUACUGGCAGAUUAACGAAAACAGAAAUGAGAGAGAAAGAAAACGGGUGACUCAUGGCAGUCUCUUUGCUGAAACACAGCUGCCCUUGUCCCAGGAACAGGAUUCUUAGA
Long non-coding RNA from Corvus hawaiiensis (hawaiian crow), 334 nucleotides. RefSeq lists it as uncharacterized. The transcript has 3 exons. Lineage: Eukaryota; Metazoa; Chordata; Aves; Passeriformes; Corvidae. The record is from RefSeq and is a predicted model, not a curated record.